RNAcentral lists this ribosomal RNA (501 nucleotides) under uncultured bacterium. Its description in RNAcentral is "partial 16S ribosomal RNA". It matches the Rfam family "Bacterial small subunit ribosomal RNA", at positions 30 to 523 of the family's 1533-position model. The record is from RNAcentral.
AUUGAACGCUGGCGGCAGGCUUAACACAUGCAAGUCGAGCGGGGGAAGGUAGCUUGCUACUGGACCUAGCGGCGGACGGGUGAGUAAUGCUUAGGAAUCUGCCUAUUAGUGGGGGACAACAUCUCGAAAGGGAUGCUAAUACCGCAUACGUCCUACGGGAGAAAGCAGGGGAUCUUCGGACCUUGCGCUAAUAGAUGAGCCUAAGUCGGAUUAGCUAGCUGGUGGGGUAAAGGCCUACCAAGGCGACGAUCUGUAGCGGGUCUGAGAGGAUGAUCCGCCACACGGGGACUGAGACACGGCCCAGACUCCUACGGGAGGCAGCAGUGGGGAAUAUUGGACAAUGGGGGGAACCCUGAUCCAGCCAUGCCGCGUGUGUGAAGAAGGCCUUAUGGUUGUAAAGCACUUUAAGCGAGGAGGAGGCUACUUUAGUUAAUACCUAGAGAUAGUGGACGUUACUCGCAGAAUAAGCACCGGCUAACUCUGUGCCAGCAGCCGCCGUAA